CUUUUCAUGCUCCUAUAGACAGGAUAUCGGUUGGCAGGAACAACCUCGUUGUUCGAUUUUUGAAAGGGUCUAGGAGGGUUCAACCAGAUC
Long non-coding RNA from Sinocyclocheilus anshuiensis, 90 nucleotides. RefSeq lists it as uncharacterized. Lineage: Eukaryota; Metazoa; Chordata; Actinopteri; Cypriniformes; Cyprinidae. The record is from RefSeq and is a predicted model, not a curated record. The transcript is spliced from 3 exons.